GCCUGGCUAGCUCAGUCGGUAGAACAUGAGACUCUUAAUUUCAGGGUCGGGUGUUCGAGCCCCCCGAUGGGCG
This is a non-coding RNA of Daphnia pulex (common water flea), 73 nucleotides long. The record is from Rfam. Lineage: Eukaryota; Metazoa; Arthropoda; Branchiopoda; Diplostraca; Daphniidae.